Non-coding RNA from Lyophyllum atratum, 93 nucleotides. NCBI's taxonomy places the organism in Eukaryota, Fungi, Basidiomycota, Agaricomycetes, Agaricales, Lyophyllaceae. The record is from the annotation of a GenBank genome assembly.
GGCGCUGUAGUGUAGUGGUUAUCACUCGAGAUUCUGACGCUGUCGUACACGAUCAUUGUUCUCGUAACCCAGGUUCGAGUCCUGGCAGUGCCU